ACGUCUAGCGAUGAAAUUGUGCUCUAUGGAGCUGACUUUGACUAUGCUCAGACAUAAGACACUGAUAAAACGAGACAGCAUUAUACUGCUGGCAUAAAUCUGUCUCAUUUUAACUGAAACUUAAGUCUAAGCAAAGUCAAAGUGUGAUCUGUAGAUUUCAAC
Maniola jurtina (meadow brown) is the source of this 162-nucleotide long non-coding RNA. RefSeq lists it as uncharacterized. The record is from RefSeq and is a predicted model, not a curated record. Lineage: Eukaryota; Metazoa; Arthropoda; Insecta; Lepidoptera; Nymphalidae. The transcript has 3 exons.